RNAcentral lists this ribosomal RNA (490 nucleotides) under uncultured bacterium. RNAcentral describes it as "partial 16S ribosomal RNA". It matches the Rfam family "Bacterial small subunit ribosomal RNA", at positions 30 to 507 of the family's 1533-position model. The record is from RNAcentral.
AUCGAACGCUGGCGGCAGGCCUAACACAUGCAAGUCGAACGGUAACAGGAAGCAGCUUGCUGCUUUGCUGACGAGUGGCGGACGGGUGAGUAAUGUCUGGGAAACUGCCCGAUGGAGGGGGAUAACUACUGGAAACGGUAGCUAAUACCGCAUAACGUCGCAAGACCAAAGAGGGGGACCUUAGGGCCUCUUGCCAUCGGAUGUGCCCAGAUGGGAUUAGCUAGUAGGUGGGGUAACGGCUCACCUAGGCGACGAUCCCUAGCUGGUCUGAGAGGAUGACCAGCCACACUGGAACUGAGACACGGUCCAUACUCCUACGGGAGGCAGCAGUGGGGAAUAUUGCGCAAUGGGCGCAAGCCUGAUGCAGCCAUGCCGCGUGUAUGAAGAAGGCCUUCGGGUUGUAAAGUACUUUCAGCGGGGAGGAAGGGAGUAAAGUUAAUACCUUUGCUCAUUGACGUUACCCGCAGAAGAAGCACCGGCUAACUCCGUG